Quercus robur (English oak) is the source of this 4183-nucleotide RNA transcript. It is a transcript of the gene named mannosylglycoprotein endo-beta-mannosidase-like, with no coding region annotated. The record is from RefSeq and is a predicted model, not a curated record. The transcript is spliced from 6 exons. Lineage: Eukaryota; Viridiplantae; Streptophyta; Magnoliopsida; Fagales; Fagaceae.
CCGACAAAGACUCAAAAAGAAUCACUCGCACAUUGACUCCCUCUCUCUCCCACUUCUGAGUGAGUCAUGACUCGGUCGGCUUAAAUGGCGAGUACAGGGAAGACUCGGUUCGACUCGGGCUGAUUCGCAGCGAUGUCCACGGAGGUUAGCCCUUUGGGUAAACGCCGUCGUUCCCGGAACGUAAAUUUAUCUUUCACCCCCUUCUCUUCAAUCUUAUUUUCCUUUAUUAAUUUAACAUUAUGCAAUCGCUUGUCAAUUUUGAGCUUCCAAAGCUUAACUCAUACAUCUUGCGUCAUAUUUUACUUGCUCUCCCCGCUCGUCUAUUGUUUAUUUAUGCCUCUAUUUAUUAUAAUUUUUUUGUUUUAUAACAUCCACUAUUUAUGGCUCUGUUGAUCAUACUUGUAAUUUGUGUUCAAUAACAUCCACUAUCAUUUAUAGACACAAAGGUUGGCAAGUGUUGUAUCUGUAUACAAUCAUGGUUAUGUAAUAGCUGUUAAGGGAAUUUUGGGGCGGAAAAAGAAAAAUGAAAGUUGAAUUUUUCAAUUAGUGAGGGCUAAUGGUGAUUUGAUUGACAGUGUUUUGGCAACCUUGGUAGAGAACAAAGUUGUUCCUGAUCCUUUCUAUGGGCUGCAAAAUGAGAGACAAUUAUAGAUAUUGCUGAUUCUGGGAGAGAGUAUUACACAUUCUGGUUUUUUUUUUUUUUUUUUUUUUUUUUUUUUUUUUUUACAACUUUUCAGAGUAAGCUGGUAUGCAAUUCGUGACAUAAGACAUAAAAUAUGAUCUUGAGAUUUUAUACUUCUUGAAAUUAUUUUUCAUGCUAAUAUUUAAGAAAUUGUAAGAUUUUCCUUUGGUUGCAUUCCCUAUAAAUUUCACUUGAUAGUGUUUUUUCCUCUCAACCUUGUGUGAAAUUUGUCCGUACUUGGGUAGUUGGUCACUGUUAUUGGGUCAGAUUUUAACGACAAGAUGGUCUGAAAAUGGGCACAAAAAGCUCGUGCCAAAGGGGAUGUAUCGGAAGCAUUCUCUUGAUGUCACUGAUAUUCUGCAUCCUGAUGGUCAAACUUGCUUGCCUUUCUUGUUCGUCUUCCUGUGAGAAUUCCCCAUAAGGGGGGGCCAAGGUGGUGACCAUGAGGUUUAUGGCUAAAUCCAAAACCUAUUUAAUUUAUAUAUUAUUUUAUUUUAGAAUUACAUUUAUGAUUUUGGAUCCCAUGCGAGUGGAGUGAUGGAGUAAAAAUCUAAAUUUUGACAUGCUUGUAAUACAUACAAUUUUACAAUAAUUUGUUUUCAUGCUAGAUUGGAAAAAAUGUUGCCACACAAUACGUUCUGGGUUGGGAUUGGAUGGCUCCUAUAAGAACCAAAAUGAGACAGGUUUCUACAGAUAUUUGAAACAUAUUUUUAGUGAAUAGUGUCAGUGUUAUAAAUCAUUUGGAGAUCAGUUAUACAGUGGAGAUAGUAUAUGGGACAGAUUUUUAAUUUUAUUUGUGUAAUAACCUCCCUCAAUAGCAAAAUCUACCAUAAAUUCAAUGUGUGAGAGAUAGUAUGGAAGUAUGAACAAUAUUAUGAAAAUAUCAUUUUCCUUUAUUAUUAAAAAAAAAGGGAAAAUGAUUAAGUAUUAGGAACGUUGAAUGGAUGGGUUUUUUUUAAAGGAAAAUUAGCUAAUGUGGCAAUUAAUAACUCUAUAUUAAUGAUAUGUUAAGUGGAUUUUUUUUCACCCUUAGAUGUUAUGAAAAUCAAUGGUUAUGAAAAGGUGUAACUUGAAUCCAUCUCAUAUAUAUCUAUACACACACAUAUAUGCAUAUCUGUCAACCACCAGAUUUUUGCUAGAGCACGUCAUAAAGCUGAACUUUUUUUUUUUUGGGUAAAAAGCUGAACUAUUUCUGGCCUCUGCAGUUUUCCUUGUUAGUCUGUGUGUAGACUAGACUGAAUUUGCAACCUAUUGUACAUAUAGGUAAUGAAUUUCCUUCUCGAUUCAUUUCAUUGAUAUUGUACAUUACCAUUAAAGAAAUGUGAAAGCAUAAAAGACCCCCUCCUCCCCCAAGUUAAUAAAUUGCAUACUGCGCCCAAGGAAUAUAGCCUUCAUUACUUAUUUGUGCCUUGAAUUAUCCAAAAUGGUAUCUAGAGAUGUGAAAUUUCUGAUUACUGAGCAUUUGGAGCAUCCGAUUAUUAUAAAUUCAAAUAUCCUCAAUUCUCAUUAGGAGGUCAAACCAAGGACCUAUGGAAGUCGGGGUAGCCCCGUCCCCAUGGGCAUUUUUAUCUAGUUUUAGGCUCUCAAUACUUCUGUUAUAGGUUAUGAUGGAAUGAAUUUGCAGCUUUUCUUCUACAAUCCUGACCUAUGGCGGCCAAACAGUAUGGGAAAACAGUCCUUGUACAAUGUUCAUAUUACUGUUGAUAUAAAGGGAUAUGGAUAAUUUGAUGCUUGGAGCCAUCUAUUUGGCUUCCGAAAAAUUGAGAGCCAUAUUGAUAGUGCCACAGGUGGAAGGUUGUUCAAGGUCAACGGACAGCCUAUCAUUAUCCAUGGUGGUAAUUGGAUAUUGUUAGAUGGGUUACUACGUCUUUCAAAGGAACGUUACGAAACCGACAUCAAGUUUCAUGCUGAUAUGCGUUUUAAUAUGAUUCGCUGUUGGGGUGGUGGAUUGGCUGAGAGGACAAAAUUUUAUCAUUAUUGUGAUAUUUAUGGACUUCUGGUGUGGCAAGAGUUUUGGAGUACUGAAGAGAUUGAAAUGGUGACCCGGUAUCAAAUCCAAAUGGUCCCCUUGAUCAUGAUCUUCUCUUGCUAUGUGCAAGAGACACUGUCAAGCUUCUAAGGAACCAUCCAAGUCUUGCUCUUUCGGUAGGUGAAAAUGAGCAAGUUCCACCAGAUGACAUCAACAAAGAUUUGGAAAAUGUCCUGAGACUAAAUCCUUAUUUCAAGAACUCCAAUGAAAUCAUCAAAUCUUCUGAAGAUUUAUCUGCAGUGUCAAAAGAUCCUAGCCAAUAUUUCAAUGGUACACGUGUUUACAUCCAAGGACCUUUGUGGGAUGGAUUUGCAAAUGUAAGGGGGCUUCAUUGAUGGCCCUUAUGAAAUCCGAAAUCCCGAAGCAAUUUUUAAGAAUGAUUUUUACAGCCAUGGAUUCAAUCCUGAGGUUGAUUCUGUCAGGAUGGCUGUUGCAUAUACUAUCAGAGCAAGAAUGUCUCAAGAAGGUUGGCAGAUUCCGUUGUUUAAGCAACUUCCUAGUGGGUACACAGAAGAAGUUCCAACCCCAUAUGGGAAUAACAUAAAUACAUUCCCUAUUCAAAGCCAAAAAAAAGUGUUGAUCAGAUUGAACUUUGUGGAACCCCAAAGGAUCUUGAUGAUUUUUGUUUAGAGAGUUCUGUUGGAGGGCCAGACUUCCCGUAAAUACGCUAGUCCUGAUUUGGAAGGCACAUAACCCUUGGACUGGUCUUAGUGGUCAGUAAUGAUCAUCUUUUACACCAAAUGGCAGGAUUCUAUGGCUGUCACUGUGCUGCAGAAUCAAUCCAUGUCCUGCUGAAUCUGGCUACAUAUUUUAUAGAGGGAAUGUUUAGAUCCAUUCGAAAAACUAGGGUGUGAAGCAUUUGAUAUCUUUGUUAUUGAGGUUCUUUGUGUUGGCAAAGGUACUGCUGCAUUAAUUUUAUUCUAGAAUAUACUUGAUGGAUCCAUUCUUACCAUAUUGCUUGCACACACCUACCCUUGGUCAUUAUCAUGUGCACAAAGUACUUUUUUGCUAUUCUACCUAUUUCUGCAGGUCAUAAGCUACUCCCUCUGUUGAUUAUUCAUAUUUGGUAAACUUAGAAAUGCUUGUUCAAUCAUAUUACCAUACUCUAAAAACUUUUAUAAUUAAACAAUUACUACAUCAAGGGAUUAUCAACCUUUUGGGAUGAGUGUACAACCAUAUUUGUGAAAAUCACUUUACAAAAAUAAUUUUCCAUUUGAUGGUUUUGAUUUAAAUUAUUUUUCCAAUCAAGAUGUGAUAUCUUUUGUUUUUCCUCUCUCGCUCAUCUAUGCAAUUUUCGAAUCAUCUGCAGUGUGUCCAAAUUAGAAUUAAUAACAGUUUACUAUAUUAGAUUUGUUUUGAAAUUAUUUUGAAAAUAUAUUGUGAAUGUAGUAGCACUAUUAUUUUUGUUGAAGCCAAAUUUUUAUAAUUAUCAAGUUAGGGUGUUCAAAAUUUUUAUUAGGAUAGUCACAAUA